Molecule: transfer RNA, 64 nt
Filed under: Geothelphusa dehaani
Lineage: Eukaryota; Metazoa; Arthropoda; Malacostraca; Decapoda; Potamidae
Description: tRNA-Leu
Source: RNAcentral
GUUAUUUUAGCAAGGUUUGCAUUAAACUUAAGAUUUAAAUACAUAGAUUCGUCUAUAAGUAAUA